This 75-nucleotide transfer RNA is filed under the name Alloprevotella tannerae. RNAcentral describes it as "tRNA-Tyr". It matches the Rfam family "tRNA", at positions 9 to 71 of the family's 71-position model. Rfam says of the family: Transfer RNA (tRNA) molecules are approximately 80 nucleotides in length. Lineage: Bacteria; Pseudomonadati; Bacteroidota; Bacteroidia; Bacteroidales; Prevotellaceae. The record is from RNAcentral. RNAcentral also lists the same sequence under 2 other names.
ACCAGAGUGGCCAAAUGGGGCAGACUGUAAAUCUGCUGGCUUACGCCUUCGGUGGUUCGAAUCCAUCACUACCCA